GCUGCUACUUCAGGCGUUGAUAAGCCUGGUGCCCCUAUGCAACAAGCAUUUCAUGGGACCGGGUUGGUGACAAGUGGCGUACAUGCUGGUGCAGGCGUAGAUAAGCCUGUUUUCCCUAGGCAACGAGCAGCUCAAGGGAAAGAAAGAACAGAUUUGGGUGAUGUGAAGGGGUUAGGGUGUAAAGCGGUAGGUAAUAUGAGAGCUGUGGCAGGUGUAGAUAAGCCUGUUUCCACUAGAUAAAAAACAGUGAAAGGACCAGUAGGGAAUUUUGUAACGCCUAGGAGAAGUUUGGCAAGUAUGAGAGUGGGGCACAUGGAUUUAAUGUCUAGCCUUCAAAAAAGGCUGCUAGCCAAGAAUAGGGUUAGGAGAUGUAAUGUGGGGACUGGUUUUCUGAGGAGGUGGCUGGGGGGUCCGCUGGGCUGUCUGCUUCUGCCUGUGGUGCUCCCUCUGUUUCUUCUGUUUCGCAGGUGGGAAACAAUAGCAAGCCCAUGGAGGAUGUGAAUAGUGGCGUGCAGGAGAGGGCUAUGUCAGCGCACGGUGAGGCAGCUUCUGGAAGCAGGGCGCCAGUGACAACAGAAGGAGCGACAGCUGCAGCAGCGGUGUCAGGAACUGGUUGAAAAUAAUAGGAGUGCAAUGGGGGCGUCGGAAGGCAGUCCAGCAGCCGGUGAGCUGGUUAUGGUGGGUGCAUUUGAAUCCUCGCAGACCGGGAUGGCGGCAGCCGGAGUGGUAUCGGGAGCUGGAAACGGGACACUUUUUAGGAUACCAUAGGAGCAGCUGACAGGUGCUAGGAUCCAAUCAGCUAUUUCAGCUACCACACUCAGGAAUUUGGAUCUGUUAAAGUAACUAACAUUGGAAGGAAUCAAUUUCCUCACUUUCACCUUGCUUUUCAUCACCCAUUUUUUCCAUUUUUUAGUUUUGAUUGACUUAUUUUUGUUCUUCACUAACAUUUGUUGAUCAACUUUUUGACCACUUUUUUGGAUUACAUUUUAUUUUUUAUGUUAUUGCAUAUUGUGUAUUUUAUUUUUUAUGUUAUUGCAUAUUGUGUAUUUUAUUUAAUUAUAUCUUAACCUCACUGGAUUAAGUAGCUAGUAUUUUUAUAUACAUUUGCACUCACUCACUAAUUGAUCGAAUCUAUACAAUUAUUUUGCUACCCCCCCCCCCCCUUUUUUUGCACUGCAGUGCAUUUUUCUAUUUUUUGGAACACUAUUUUUGAAACACUAUUGUUUGUACUAUUGUUUAUUAGUUUUUUGCUUUAUGCACUUGUUAUAGUUGUACUUAGGCUAAUUCUGUUUUAUUAGUAUUCACUCUUAUUCUGGUGUACCACUCACACUGAUCACCUGUUAUUACCUCUGUUUUUAUUGUAAUUAUCAGCUUUGGCCCUUUGAGCCGCUUCUGUAAGAUAUUCCUGUAUUUGUAAUUUUAUUUAUAUGUGCUUUUUACAUUUUUUAUAUAUAGUCUUUUAUUACUGAUGCUUUUUAACAUGGUUCAUUAAAUAAUCUUCUUUUA
Bombina bombina (fire-bellied toad) is the source of this 1506-nucleotide long non-coding RNA. RefSeq lists it as uncharacterized. The record is from RefSeq and is a predicted model, not a curated record. NCBI's taxonomy places the organism in Eukaryota, Metazoa, Chordata, Amphibia, Anura, Bombinatoridae. The transcript is spliced from 2 exons.